This 6967-nucleotide long non-coding RNA is filed under the name Sus scrofa (pig). RNAcentral's name for it is "lncRNA (ENSSSCG00050064767.1)". The record is from RNAcentral. Lineage: Eukaryota; Metazoa; Chordata; Mammalia; Artiodactyla; Suidae.
GGAUUCUUGGCCCAGGUGAGACCUGCCCUGAGCCCAGGACCAAUUCUCCAUGGAUGGCCGCUGCUCACCUACUAGAAGGGCAAACCUGAGAAGACUGAUAUUAUGUGAUGCUGCUGGGGAAAUGGGCAUUCACACGUACUGUGCAGUGGUGUGCAUGUGUGUGAGCGUGCACGCAGGCAUGUGUGCAUGUGAACAUGUGUGCAAUUUGCUGGUAUGAGUGAUUAACUUGGUCACCUGGAGCCAGACUAAGUUAAAAGACCAACGGUGGCUCCUGGCAGCCGUGUGAGCUUGGACAAGUCAUGUACCAUCUCCAUUCCUCAGUUUUCUCAUUUGUAAAAUAGGGGUAAUAGUACCUCUUCUCAGGGUUAUCAUGAGAAUGGUAAGUUAAUAUAUGUAAAGGCUUGGUUUAGGUCAUCUCCUAUCUGAGUCGAAACACUUUAGGAGUUCCCAUUGGGUUGAAUUGGAGCUGUUGCUGUCGGCUUAUGCCAGAGCCACAGCAAAGCCAGAUCCGAGCCACGUCUGCAAGCUAUACCACAGCUCACUGCAGUGAGGUCAGGGGUCGAACCCACAACCUCAUGGUUCCUAGUCGGAUUCGUUUCCGCUGCUCCAAGAUGGGAACUCCCAAGAGCAGGUCUCUUAGUGGCUCCUCUUUGGCCAGUGCUUUGGAGCCUCCCUAGAGGUGAGACUCAAAUGUCACCAGCUCUACCCCACUGUGCAGCUACAUCUUGUAUCUUCAUGUCUAGGACCAGAGGCCGGGAACUCUAGGUUCUCAUGCUGGUUUUGCUCCUGACCUGUGUGAGUCUGCUUUCCUUCUAGGCCUCAGUUUCUCCAUCUGUACAGCAAAGGAGUUGGCUUGAAGAGAAUUGAAUGAUUUCAUAUGCCACUUCAGGUCAACUGGUGGUCGCUAGAGAUGUGCAUUAAGAAGGUUUCUGAAACUGUGCCUAGGUUAUAUAGGAAAGAGUACUUGUGAUCGAUUAGUGAUGUCUGGAAUGGACAUGGGAUGGAGGAGCAGGGCUCUGUUUGUCUUGUAUUCACCAUCCUGAAGCUAGAUGCUUAAUUUCUAAAGGGCCCACCUUCUUGAGCCACAGUGUUACAAAUGUUCAAAAUGAGACUCAUUAAUAUUUAGAGUCAAUCUAGGCAUGUCUUACGAAGGCCUCGUUCAAUAUUUCUCAGGUCUGAGAGUGGAAAAGGGUCUUCUAAAUCUCUGUUCCAAUUAUUCAUAAACGCAGCUUGUGGUCAACUAAAGAAAGAGAGAGUUUGGCUCUACGGAAUGGAACUCAUACAGGGGCUGGAGAAGCAUGUGAGGGGGUGGUGACUAGCCUGGGAGGGGAUCGGGUGGCAAGCAUCAUGGAAUUCCAGGGAGCAGGCAGGCCUGAGAGAGUUACCUCUGAAUUUUAAGGCAGUGGAACCCAGGGAGCCAAUCUUACAAAGGUGCCCGGGGCUGGUUCUGCUCAAAGCAAAACCAGUGAUACGACUGGGACAUAGACAGCCUCUCUGGGAACAUCUUCCUGUAGACUCCAGCUCUAGGCCUUGGCUGUUUUGCCCUCCUCCUAACAGAAUUCCCUCCUGGAUGUAUAAAAUGGGCAGGAAGCAAAAGCCAAGAAGGAUUGGCUGGGUUUGGGGCUGCAGAUUUGAGAUUGAAAGCUUUGAGGGUAGAGGGAGAUUUUUUUUCUGGAGUCUCCACAGAAGCCUGAGGUCAUUAUAGGUUGCAAGGUUUGGAGGAGGAGAGAGAAGGGUGAGUAAAGGGCUACCCUUCCUGGCAGUGGUGGUUUUGUUGGAGGGCAUCUGUCGUGCUCCCAAGGGUUUCCCAGCCUGCAGGCAAUUUUCGAAUCCAUAAAGUUCAUAAGUACAGAGCUCAUCAACAAUUAAGCUCAUGUAACCAUCUCUCUCUUUAGAAAUCCAUUGAAAGUUAGAAGAAUGACUUCCAUUGUUCUUUAAAUUUAUUGUCUGCUAACUCAAUCAUGGUUCUUUUAGUAACUUAAUUGUUUCUGAAUUGAGGAACUUCUAACUCAACAUAAGUGUCAGAAAACGAAGUUGAUAGCUUAAAAAACUCGAGUUUAUACCCAGCAAGUACCUUUUCGUAUCUUUAUGCAAUAAGCAUUUCCUAAUAAGUCCUAAACAUACGAGUAAAGGCUGCAGUCUAUAGAGUUAUACAGCUGCUCUCACAAAGAGCUACAGUAGUCAGACAGACCUGGGUUCAAGGUUUCUUCCCUUGCCCUUUGCUGCCACUUACUGGUUGUAUGACCUUGGACAAGUGACUUAACUGACAUGUACCUCAGUUUUCUCAUCUGUAAAAUGAGUAUCUGCCGUGGAGGGCUGUUGCAAGAUUUAGUGAAUUAUUAUACAGAAACCACACAGCAGAGGGGAGUCUCCCACAUAGAAGGUACUUAACAAAUGGUAGCUAUUAUUAUUUUAUUACUAGAGUAAAUGCAAAUUCAUAGUAACUUUUAGUUGCAGUAAAGCAUGACUUCAGUAAUAAAUGCGGUAACAUCUAGAUACAACAGGGUAAAUACAGUAACACAUAGCUAUUGUAAUACAAUUAGAAUCCUGCACACAAUAACAGAAUCAGCUAUGUGGAUAUAGUAACAUAUAGAUAUUAUAAUAUAAUUGCAGUAAUACAGCCACAGUUACAUAUAUACAUAAUCAUUUUUAGCUAUACUAAGCUAGAUUUUUUAUUAUUUUAUUUAAGUAGCAGAGCUACCAUAUCAAAAUACUGCAUCAUACAACAGCCUUAUAUAUAUGUAUUACAAUAGUGUACAGAGAAGUUAGAUACAAUAAAAAUAGAUAUGUUUAAGUCACAACCAGAUAUUCCUUAUAAGGGAUAAAGAGCCAUAGUAAUAGUGGAUCCUAUUAUAUGGUUGCCAUGUCUUAUAGGAAUUGCGAUGUGUAAGUCUGAUAACGUGUAGACAGAGUACUACACAGCCGCAGACCUGAAGGAACACUGGUACAGAUGGGCAAUAUUACAUCCAGCAUUCUCUCUUGCCAUUGGGAUUCAUACCCUUUUGGGGUUGGAGCUUUUCUCAGAAUCACUUGUUCUUGGGGGGAAAAAAACCCCAAAUUUCCCAAAUGCAUUUAUAAGUGGCAAAAUUCUGUGCCCAUAUAGCCCUAGCUCUAGUCUGAUAUUUAAUGUUUAGGUGUCCUGGAUUCAAAUACUUGAGAAUCAGAACAAGGAGAAAUAAUCUCUCAAGAGAUCAGACCUCGGUCCACAGGCAGGCAUAAUCCGGGCUGGUAUCUUAGUCCUCUUCAUGCUUACUGGACUCUGAUUUGAUUUGGCAUUUAGGUGACCCAGACUUCUGACCUCCUGGAGGAAACAAGACCUAUAUUUCUCCCUCUCUGAUCAUGGUUUUAAAAUUUGGCUACUCUUGUUUGCUAGUCUUACCACUGCUGAGGACAUCAGCUUUGUCUGAGCAAAAGUUUCUCUCUCUCCCUCUCUUUCUCUCUCUCUUUUUUUUCAUGGCUGCACCUGUUGCAUAUGGAGGUUCCCAGGCCAGGAGUUGAAUCAGGGCUGUAGUUUCUGGCCUAUACCACAGUCACAGCAAUGUGGGAGAUCAGCUUUGUCUGAGCAAAAUUUAUCUGCCCAUCUGUACCAGUGUUCCUUCAGGUCCGUGGCUGUGUAGUACUCUGUCUGCACGUUAUCAUACUUAACACAUUGCAAUUCCUAUAAGACAUGGCAACCAUAUAAUAGGAUCCACUAUUACUCCUCACUUAACCCACUGAAUGAGGCCAGGGAUUGAACUUGCGUUCUCAUGGAUACUAGCCAGAUUCAUUAUCGCUGAGCUACAACAGGAACUCCCCCAAAAGUCUCUAUUGACCAAAAGGGCAGUUGCAAAUAGCCCAUGCACAGGCUAGUAGAUUCUUUUAUAUGGGGAUGUUGGCAGCUCCUGUGGCUUGGCUAGUGCGUAGGGCAGCUUUGGAAGAGGAGUAACUACUUGGAGGCAGAUGUUGUCCACUGGAGCCAAACUGAUAGAUUUCUUCCUAGUCACAUUUUCCUGGACCAGUUUGGCAACCCAAGUCCUGAAUUCCUUAUAUCAGUUAGUUAUUGCUGCAUAGCAGAUAUCUCAAAGCUUUGUUUAAAGCAACACACAUUCCUUAUUGCUCAUGUGUUUACAGGUCAAGUGGAUAGUUCUUCUGAUCUGGGCCAGGCUUGGUUGGCUUUGGCUUUUAUCCAUCUUUGUUCACCUGACUGGUCUAGAUUGGCCUUGGUUGGAGAACCUGGUUCAAAUGGGGGCUCUUUCAAUGUGUCCCUCACAUCCUUCUAGCAGGCUUGUUCACAGGGCAGGAUUAUGGAAGACUAGGGAGAGGGGAAGGGGGGAGGAAGAAGGGGUAGGAAGAGAGGGAGGGGGAGAGGGAGAAAUGCACUUUCCCCUCUGUUGCAUUCUAUUGGUCACAGAAAAUCACAAGGCCACCCUUAUUCAAGGAGUGAGAAAAUAGAGUCCACUUCUUGAUGGAGGGAGCUGCAAAGUCACAUGGUAAGGGUACCCCUACAGGGAGGACUAGAAGGUGGGAAAUAUUGCUGGAGGUGGGGUGGGGAUUGCUGGAGCCUUUGCAAACCCUCCUUUGGGUCCUUGAGCAGAGCCAAAGCUGCAUUUUGGGAGAGAUUUCCAAUCCUGUGUGCCUGAUGCCUGUUCCAUGUGGGUAGUAAAGCACAUUGUCUGGUCCUUAACCCUCAUAAGCUCCUCCUUCCUUUGGCCUGUUUGCCCUAGGUUACCCCACUCUGACACAAAGGGGGGUCUCCUUUGGCUUCUACUGACUUGCACCUUGCAGGUUUUCCCCCAGUGAUCUGGGCCACAUUUCCUUAAUGAGAAUUUGAAAUCUGGACUCAGAGAACUGGAAAUCUUGGACCAGUUAGUGGUGAGUGGAAUUUCAUGGUGUAGAGCCAGGACUAGAGAAGGGAACAGAGCAGACUCUCAUCUCUCUGAGAGUGGAGAGAGCCAUGUGAACUGGAAAGGAGAUGGAAGGAGAAGCAGCCUUGUCUUUCUGCUCUCCUGCUUCUGUAAAGCUUGGGUGAACUUUGUUUUCUGUCUCUGAGUUCCUUAAAACCUCUAUUUCCUUUUAAUACCUUCUUCAUUUUCUAUUUUUUUGCAACCCAACACUGUUGGUUAUAGGGCCCCCUUUGGGAGGGAAGGCAGGCCAGACAGCUUCUAUGACAGAGUGCCCACCAGCAGUUCAAGGGUAUCCUUCCCUAGAUGCCAGAGCAUGUGCUGUCCUGGGUCUCACUGAGAGCUCCAUCUUGAAAAAACUAGCUCUCUUUAUCCAGCUUCUGCCUCAAAUCAGAGAAACAAUUGCUAUCUGAGAAAGAGAGAGGAUAAGAGGGUCACUGAUGGGAGUUCCUGUUGUGGCUCAGCAGGUUAAGAACCCAACCAAUAUUCGUGGGAAUGCAGUUUGAUCGCUGGCCUUGCUCGGUGGGUUAAGGAUCCAGCAUUGCUGUGAGCUGUGGUAUAGGCUGCAGACAUGGGUCAGAUCUGGUGUUGCUGUGGCUGUGGUGUAGGCCAGCAGCUGCAGCUCUGUUUCAACCCCUAGCCUGGGAACUUCCAUAUGCUGCGGGUGUGGCCCUCCCCCCCAAAACGGGUCACUGACAUUUACUUAUGAACAUAAAAUAAUCUUUACCUUUGGGAAAGAGACAUAUAACUCACUAGCCACAAAGAUCAUUUCUCUAAACUAGGUUUGAAUAUACUUCCUUUUACUUUUAUAUAGGGCCGACAUCUCAAAAUAAUUCCUACACAUUUUAAACUCUUAUUGAAAGCAUUGUCAAAAAAAUAUUCUCUCUAGAAAGUCCUGUGUGAUCAAUUGCUUUAAGAAUUCACUGAUAGGACUUCCCUGAUGGCACAGUGGGUUAAAGAUCCAGCAUUGUCACUGCUGUGGCUCAGGCUGCAGUCGUGGUACGGUUUGAGCUCUGGCCCAGGAAUUUCUGCAUGCCCUGGGCAUGGCCAACAAAAGGGAAUUCACUGAUAGACAGAAGUUAUGAAGAAUGUUUUAUGAGAGAGACCCAAUCUUUUCUCUUUGUGCCAUUGCUGCCAGGAAACUCACACCCAAGUUGGCCACUUGAUCACUUGCACAUAGUUCCGGAUAAUUUCCCAUGUUUUUCUGUCUGAAAAUGCUCUCUGGCUGUGGGAAUGGGCUUUGCAAUCUUCAAUCAAUGGAGGAUGAGAGUUGGUGGAUUGGAAACCAAUUAAACCAAUUAAAUAUAUGUUUUGCUGCCAUAACACAUUACCACAAACUUAAUGGUUUAAAACAGCACAAAUUCAUUAUUUUACCAUUCUAGAGGUCAAAAAUCUGAAAUGGGUCUUAAGGGCUAAAAUCAAGGUGUUGGUAGAACUGUAUUUCUUCUUAAGACUCUGGGGGAGGAUCUGUUUUGUUGCUUUUUCUAUUGUCUAGAAUCUGAUUUCCUUGGCUCAUGGCCCCUUCCUCCAUCUUCAAAGUCAGGAAUAUUAUAUCUUCCAAUCUAUCUCUCUGACCCUCUCAUAAAAAUAUUUGUGAUUGUAUUAGGUUCUCCAAGAUAAUCCAGAAUUAUCUAUCCAUGUCAAGACCCUUAACUUACUUACAUCUGCAAAGUUCCUUUUGCCAUAUAAGGUAACAUAUUCAGGUUCUGGAGAUUAGGAUGGAUGUCAUUGAGGGGGCACUAUUCAGCCUACCACAAUAGACACAUCUCAGCUUCCUUGGCCAACUGAUGGGAAAAUUCUGAGGUCUGGUCUAUAGCCUCACGAAGGAUCCUUAGAGAUAUUGAGCCCAGUUGCUCAAAGCAGUAACCCACUCAUAGCCACAUCUUUAUUAGUAUUCUUUUCUUCUUGUGUUCCCACUUUCUCACUGGGCUCACUUCUCAAGUAAACUCCUUGCACCCAAACUUUGUGUCUGAGACUUGGUGUCCCAAACUGAAAUAGGAACCAUAUCAGCCUCCUUCUUUGCAUUCCUUUGCAUUUCUCAUUUUUUAACAGUUUUAUUACUAAAAAAAAAAAAAAAAAAAAAAAAA